UGUGGUUGUAGCUCAGUGGUAGAGUACUUGCCUCGCAUGUGUGAAUCAUUGGGUUCGAAUCUCAGCACCGCAA
This 73-nucleotide transfer RNA is filed under the name Marmota monax (woodchuck). RNAcentral's name for it is "tRNA.Ala". It matches the Rfam family "tRNA". Rfam says of the family: Transfer RNA (tRNA) molecules are approximately 80 nucleotides in length. Their secondary structure includes four short double-helical elements and three loops (D, anti-codon, and T loops). Further hydrogen bonds mediate the characteristic L-shaped molecular structure. tRNAs have two regions of fundamental functional importance: the anti-codon, which is responsible for specific mRNA codon recognition, and the 3' end, to which the tRNAs corresponding amino acid is attached (by aminoacyl-tRNA synthetases). tRNAs cope with the degeneracy of the genetic code in two manners: having more than one tRNA (with a specific anti-codon) for a particular amino acid; and 'wobble' base-pairing, i.e. permitting non-standard base-pairing at the 3rd anti-codon position. Lineage: Eukaryota; Metazoa; Chordata; Mammalia; Rodentia; Sciuridae. The record is from RNAcentral.